This 66-nucleotide transfer RNA is filed under the name Anterastes babadaghi. Its description in RNAcentral is "tRNA-Trp". The record is from RNAcentral. Lineage: Eukaryota; Metazoa; Arthropoda; Insecta; Orthoptera; Tettigoniidae.
AAGGCUUUAAGUUAAUUAAACUAACAGCCUUCAAAGCUGUAAAUAAAAAGGAUUUUUUAAGCCUUA